CCUACGGGUGGCAGCAGUGAGGAAUAUUGGUCAAUGGACGAGAGUCUGAACCAGCCAAGUAGCGUGAAGGAUGACUGCCCUAUGGGUUGUAAACUUCUUUUAUAUGGGAAUAAAAUGUUCCACGUGUGGGAUUUUGUAUGUACCAUAUGAAUAAGGAUCGGCUAACUCCGUGCCAGCAGCCGCGGUAAUACGGAGGAUCCGAGCGUUAUCCGGAUUUAUUGGGUUUAAAGGGAGCGUAGGUGGAUUGUUAAGUCAGUUGUGAAAGUUUGCGGCUCAACCGUAAAAUUGCAGUUGAAACUGGCAGUCUUGAGUACAGUAGAGGUGGGCGGAAGUCGUGGUGUAGCGGUGAAAUGCUUAGAUAUCACGAAGAACUCCGAUGGCGAAGGCAGUUCACUGGACUGCAACUGACACUGAGGCUCGAAAGUGUGGGUAUCAAACAGGAUUAGAUACCCGGGUAGUC
RNAcentral lists this ribosomal RNA (460 nucleotides) under uncultured bacterium. RNAcentral's name for it is "partial 16S ribosomal RNA". It matches the Rfam family "Bacterial small subunit ribosomal RNA", at positions 338 to 795 of the family's 1533-position model. The record is from RNAcentral.